Non-coding RNA from Biomphalaria pfeifferi, 766 nucleotides. Lineage: Eukaryota; Metazoa; Mollusca; Gastropoda; Planorbidae. The record is from the annotation of a GenBank genome assembly.
GUGCCUAGAAUUCUUUUUUUUUUUUUUUUUUUUUUCAAAUGCUGGGAACUUAAAAAUGACUCAAGCUCAUAUCAUAAAUAAGAUACUAUAACUUUUAAACUAUCACUUUGGAUGGUUAAUUUACUCUUAGCAAAUAGAAUAUUUGUAUUUUGUUUAAGCCUUGUGUAUUUGUCAUUAAUAAUUUUUAAUCCACUCAAAACUGCCUUGACAAAUAGCUAUUUCAUCUAUUCGUUUGCUCCACAUGAUUGAUUCAGAAUACAUGUCUUGUAGCUAGGUCAAGAUUUUAUUUCUUUCUCGGAAUUUUUAUGUUCUUCAACUCACACUUUUAAUUGUCACAAUGUUUUGAUUUAGUUCAGUUAGACUGAAAUUGGAUAGCAGUAGUGAUUUAAACUCUUAAUCUAAAUAUUGUAAUACUGGUAGUGACAGUAAUGAUUUUAUCAGCCUUUGAGACACUGUUAAAAAAGCUAGCAAAUUGCUUUUGAUAACCCUUGUUUUAUCUACUCCAUAUUCAGAGUAUGUUUUCAGGAAAUUGCUUUUUUUUUAUUAUCUUUUGUUUUAUUAACACUAAAAUGUUUUUCAUACUUUAAGUACCGGUACAUGGUAUGUUAGUGUGAGAUGGUCUUGGUUAUUAUAGGUCAACUAACAAAUGGCUUAAUGUUGGUGAUAAAUAGCAUUAACAAAAGAAGUUUUACUUUUUUUUUUUAUCCAGCAGCUUAGUCUUGUCACAACUUUUUAAAAACUAUUUAUUAAAACAUUUUGAAAAGAU